CCAUUAUUAGGGUCGGAAUUUUGUGUUACAAGUCACAUUUCGAUUUCCUGUGUAACAAAACAGGUAGAGUGUGCGAAUAACCCAAUAACCACAUUUAAAGUAUAAAUAAUGGUUUUCUUCGUCAUUUGGGUUUCCCAUUGCUAUUGGCAAAAAGAAAUCAGGAAAUGACAGGAGCAAUAAUAUUUAAUUAUUGCGUUU
RNAcentral lists this non-coding RNA (198 nucleotides) under Wiebesia pumilae. Lineage: Eukaryota; Metazoa; Arthropoda; Insecta; Hymenoptera; Agaonidae. The record is from RNAcentral.